UAGGGAAUAUUGCACAAUGGGGGAAACCCUGAUGCAGCAAUGCCGCGUGAAGGAAGAAGUAUUUCGGUAUGUAAACUUCUAUCGAUGGGGAAGAAAAAAAUGACGGUACCUGACUAAGAAGCCCCGGCUAACUACGUGCCAGCAGCCGCGGUAAUACGUAGGGGGCAAGCGUUAUCCGGAUUUACUGGGUGUAAAGGGAGCGUAGGUGGUUCGGUAAGUCAGAUGUGAAAGCCCGGGGCUCAACCCCGGGACUGCAUUUGAAACUAUCGAACUAGAGUGCAGGAGAGGUAAGUGGAAUUCCUAGUGUAGCGGUGAAAUGCGUAGAUAUUAGGAGGAACACCAGUGGCGAAGGCGGCUUACUGGACUGUAACUGACACUGAGGCUCGAAAGCGUGGGGAGCAAACAGG
This 407-nucleotide ribosomal RNA is filed under the name uncultured prokaryote. Its description in RNAcentral is "bacterial SSU rRNA". It matches the Rfam family "Bacterial small subunit ribosomal RNA", at positions 355 to 776 of the family's 1533-position model. RNAcentral also lists the same sequence under 1 other name. The record is from RNAcentral.